GGGAAAUUACUAUGGGGGCCUGCCUCAGGCCCCGACACAAAUCUAUGGGGCA
This is a non-coding RNA of Cricetulus griseus (Chinese hamster), 52 nucleotides long. NCBI's taxonomy places the organism in Eukaryota, Metazoa, Chordata, Mammalia, Rodentia, Cricetidae. The record is from Rfam.